GAUGAACGCUGGCGGCGUGCCUAAUACAUGCAAGUCGAGCGAACGGACGAGAAGCUUGCUUCUCUGAUGUUAGCGGCGGACGGGUGAGUAACACGUGGAUAACCUACCUAUAAGACUGGGAUAACUUCGGGAAACCGGAGCUAAUACCGGAUAAUAUUUUGAACCGCAUGGUUCAAAAGUGAAAGAAGGUCUUGCUGUCACUUAUAGAUGGAUCCGCGCUGCAUUAGCUAGUUGGUAAGGUAACGGCUUACCAAGGCAACGAUGCAUAGCCGACCUGAGAGGGGGAUCGGCCGCACUAGAACUGAGCCACGGUCCAGACUCCUACGGGAGGCAGCAGUAGGGAAUCUUCCGCAAUGAGCGAAAGCCUGGCGGAGCAACGCCGCGUGAGUGAUGAAGGUCUUCGGAUCGUAAAACUCUGUUAUUAGGGAAGAACAUAUGUGUAAGUAACUGUGCACAUCUUGACGGUACCUAAUCAGAAAGCCACGGCUAACUACGUG
RNAcentral lists this ribosomal RNA (497 nucleotides) under uncultured bacterium. RNAcentral's name for it is "partial 16S ribosomal RNA". It matches the Rfam family "Bacterial small subunit ribosomal RNA", at positions 28 to 507 of the family's 1533-position model. The record is from RNAcentral.